ACUAUGACUCACCUCUAGAGUCCUCUAUUCGAAGACGUUUGGACGGCCAAACCACUCACGA
RNAcentral lists this non-coding RNA (61 nucleotides) under unclassified sequences. RNAcentral describes it as "MDR-NUDIX RNA". It matches the Rfam family "MDR-NUDIX RNA". The record is from RNAcentral.